Molecule: ribosomal RNA, 460 nt
Filed under: Propionibacterium sp. oral taxon 194
Lineage: Bacteria; Bacillati; Actinomycetota; Actinomycetes; Propionibacteriales; Propionibacteriaceae
Description: bacterial SSU rRNA
Rfam family: Bacterial small subunit ribosomal RNA
Source: RNAcentral
GACGAACGCUGGCGGCGUGCUUAACACAUGCAAGUCGAACGGUAAGGCCCCUUUUUUUGGGGUGUACGAGUGGCGAACGGGUGAGUAACACGUGAGUAACCUGCCCCAGACUUUGGGAUAACAGUUGGAAACGAUUGCUAAUACUGGAUAUGAGCUGCUGCCGCAUGGUGGUGGUUUGAAAGUUCCGGCGGUUUGGGAUGGGCUCGCGGCCUAUCAGCUUGUUGGUGAGGUGAUGGCUUACCGAGGCUUCGACGGGUAGCCGGCCUGAGAGGGCGACCGGCCACAUUGGGACUGAGAUACGGCCCAAACUCCUACGGGAGGCAGCAGUGGGGAAUAUUGCACAAUGGACGGAAGUCUGAUGCAGCAACGCCGCGUGCGGGAUGACGGCCUUCGGGUUGUAAACCGCUUUCAUCCAUGACGAAGCUUUUGUGACGGUAGUGGGUAAAAAGCACCGGCUAUC